Corvus moneduloides (New Caledonian crow) is the source of this 2251-nucleotide long non-coding RNA. Lineage: Eukaryota; Metazoa; Chordata; Aves; Passeriformes; Corvidae. The record is from Ensembl.
AUGGCACCCCGCAUCCAGCAACCACCAGCAGCUGGAACAGAAAGUUUUCGGUACAAUCAAAGUUUGACGCUUAAUCUCCCUUUGCCCCGCACCGCACUCAGUCCAGCCAGGCACAGCGACGCGCUGUCCGACCGACAGCCCGGGCCAGCGCGGAGCUCCGCCGGGCUCCCCCAGGCCCUGCCGCGGGCACAGCCGGCUCCCGCACCCGCGCUGCUCGUCCCUGCGGCCGCGGCGGCUCCGGCAUCCACCGCCCGGCAGCAAAAACCCGGAGGCGCCUACCCGGGAGAGCCAGUGGCCGGGGAAGCGUCUCCCCGGCUGGGCGAGGCCAACCGGGAGCCUCCGCUCGGGCUCGCACCGCACCCGAUGCCUCUCCGAGCGGGGCUGGGGGCGAAUCCGGCCCCCCGGCGCUCACGGCCCCGGGGCCGCUGGCAGCGCUCCGGGGCCGGCGCUUCCCAGGCAACAGUUGGCUGUGUCCCUCCGCGUCCCCCCGCCACCGCCCGCAGCCCCCGCUGUGCGAGGGGCAGGGGCACCGCGGGGAGGGUGACCCGGGGCGGGAGAGCGAGCACAAAGGCGGCUGCGGAGGUUCAAGGGGCGAGGGGAGCGGAGAAACUCCGGGGCUGCAGCGCGCCGUCCCCGCCCCGCCGCGAUGCGGGGGCGCCGAGAGAAGGAGCGGCAGAGGUGGCUCAGCCCCCACCCCGUGCAGCCCCCGGGCGGGCGGCAGCCCCCGUUUCCGCCGUGCCUCCCCGCUCUUACCUGGGCCGCCCGUCGCCGCUGGCCGCCGCAGAACACAGCGCUUCCUCAAGACGUCAAAACCAGAUCUGAGCCCAUUCACAGCUCGUGAAAAUACUUUGUACUUCCUCUUGCUGUGCGGAGGGUUAAAUGAGGUUAAAGUCGCCAGAACGGCUGUGCAGCACUCGGUUUCCCCCUUCCCCAAAAGCCAGUCUGUGCGUCAUUAACAGCAAGAAAGAAAGCAAGAAAAGAAAAACAAAACAAAAAAACCUACAAGUGACAGUAUUGGGAGUACAGUACAGAAAUAUCUUCUUAUUUGUUCAUACCAGGACUUUGCUUGCUGAGCUCUUUAAUUGUGAGAAGCUGUGAUGCUGACCACAAAGCUAUCACAGCUCUAUGCUUGUGAGCCUGAGAGUUCACAACUGCCUCCUGCCUCGGGCAAAUGUGUUGAGGAGAGCUCUGUGCUCCGAGAGGUGUGAUUCUCAUGAAUGAGGCAAGUUUUGGAGCGCUGUGAGAAGUGGAGUGGUUUGGUGGAGCUAUGAGGAUGUAGGGCCUGUUGCUGACUUGAGCCUCUGGCCUGUCACUCCCUCUGAUCAAGUACCCCAGAGCAGCAUCACUUCCAUGAUUUAACUGCUUCCCUUUACCCAGGCUGGAUCCAGAUGUCCUUGAAUUGUUCUUUUUUUGGUCUGAAAAUUCCAAAUUGUCUAGCAAAUAAUUCAAGUGACAUACUUAGUCUAUUAAAAGGCUGUGUGUCUGUUGCUGUAGCACAUAUUUAGUAUAGCUACCCUUUCAGCACCCAGCUUAGUAGAACACUGAGCUGCUGGCUUGCAUUUUUUACCCACGAGUCUCAAAGUACUUUUUAAAAGAAGUAAAUAGCAUUGCUCCACUUUCAAGCGGGAAGAACAGUCACAUGGAAAACUUGAACCAGGAGAAAGAACUGAACCUCAGAUUCCCAGCUAGCAACGUAAUGUCCCCUUUUAAUUAUUUUUCUGGGGCAUGCAUUCUGACUGCUUUAUAAUGGUCGUGUCUUUAACUGGAUAGUUUUACAAAAGAAGAGGCAGCUAUCACCCAUCUUUUGGAAAUAUUCUGACUCUAUGACCGCAUGCUAUGUAUGCUCUUAAGUUGUCUGCACUGAAUGCAUCAAGGACUUAGCCACAAGAAUAUUUUUAUUCUGCAUACAGAUAAUAUUUAGGAGUUAGAAAAAUCCAACUUUUAAAUCCUGCCAAAACAAAGGGACUGCUAGAUAUUGAUGAAAUGAACUGUAGAACAUCUACAUGUAGUGUAACAUACUACCAUAAGAGUGAAGUUGAUCAGCCUGUAGGGGAAAUGGCAGGCGAGUGAUAGAUUUCAGAUUCUCAGCUUUGGACGAUGACGUUGGAGACCAGAAAACAAUUGUUUAACUGGCUACUGGCAUAUUAGCCAAGCCACAACUGUAUGUGUGAAACUGUUAUCUUAGUGCUUGUGUGAGACAAAUUCAGUUUGUACACAAAGGGAUCAGAUUCCUCAAUAAAGUAAUUUCUUA